GACGAACGCUGGCGGCGUGCUUAACACAUGCAAGUCGAACGGUGAAGCGAGUGCUUGCACUCGCGGAUCAGUGGCGAACGGGUGAGUAACACGUGAGUAACCUGCCCAUCACUCUGGGAUAAGCACUGGAAACGGUGUCUAAUACUGGAUACGACCAACCCUUGCAUGGGGUGUUGGUGGAAAGAUUUAUCGGUGAUGGAUGGACUCGCGGCCUAUCAGCUUGUUGGCGGGGUAAUGGCCCACCAAGGCGACGACGGGUAGCCGGCCUGAGAGGGUGACCGGCCACACUGGGACUGAGACACGGCCCAGACUCCUACGGGAGGCAGCAGUGGGGAAUAUUGCACAAUGGGCGAAAGCCUGAUGCAGCGACGCCGCGUGAGGGAUGACGGCCUUCGGGUUGUAAACCUCUUUCAGCAGGGAAGAAGCGAAAGUGACGGUACCUGCAGAAGAAGCACCGGCUAACUACGUG
Molecule: ribosomal RNA, 469 nt
Filed under: uncultured bacterium
Lineage: Bacteria
Description: partial 16S ribosomal RNA
Rfam family: Bacterial small subunit ribosomal RNA
Source: RNAcentral